RNAcentral lists this long non-coding RNA (2098 nucleotides) under Olea europaea subsp. europaea. The record is from RNAcentral. Lineage: Eukaryota; Viridiplantae; Streptophyta; Magnoliopsida; Lamiales; Oleaceae.
GGAAGAACCGCCCAAAAUUACACUACACCGGUUUUUGGUGGCCGGUGCCCAAAAAAACUCGUACGCACCUGUUCUUCCAACCCCUUAUAAACGGUACCAUCCAAAAUCGGUCAAAACCGGUGAAAUAAAAACUCCAAGCAGGCCCUAAGGAUCGGUUGUCAACGCCGUGGAGGAGGAACUGAAGUUGCCAUCUACCUAAAUUCUGGAAUCCGAGGGAUUCGCAGCCUACACUUACAUCGAAAUCUACAUAUACGAACACAACUCCCUCGUCCUCUACUUUGACUUCAAAUAGACUCGUCAGUGAAAGCAACAAAAAACAUGAGGAGCUGCAGAAGCGUCUAUUUAUAUUACUGGGCUGUGGGGUUUAAUAUUAUUGUUGUGCUAUAAAACAAGACAAAGAAUUUCAGCAAUCAGAAUUUUCACACUUUUCAUUUGUUCUUUGACAGUUUAUUUCUUCAUCUUCAAGUUUGCCCAAGUUUAUUGUUUAAUUUUUGAUUUUUUGUUCUCUUCUUUUUUCGUUCGACAGCUGUACAGAGAAUCUCCACCUUCAUCUUCUUCAGCAUCAACUACAGCAAAUUCAGCGAUUCCUUAAUAAGGUAAUUAGCCCAUAGUCUUGCGGCUUAUGAUUAUAAUUCUUGUAAUUUUUUAUGAAGUUUUUAUGGGUUGAAAUAUUGCCAAAUUUAUUUAGUCAAGAUCCCAUUUCUCCCUGUUGAUAAAUUAGGGGUUAAUGAAUUUGAGAAGCAGGUUUUAGUAUCGUUUUGAUUUUGAAUUUUUUUUUAAAAAUCAAAAUUGAACAAUUCCAAUUAUUUGUUAAGGAAAUUUGCCAACAAUCUUACGCCUUACUGUAUAAAUUAGUUUACAAUUCCUUUGAUUUGUUAUGAAGGUUUAAUGGGAUUUAAGUGUCGCAUAAUUAAUUUAUUCAGGAGCCCUUUUCCUGUUUCACAAACUAUUUUAUUUUUCAUAAGUUCGAGACUUGCAUUUUAGUGCCGUUUUAAUUUUGAAUUUUUUGGUUCAAUUGAUACUAUCUUUGAGCUGCAAUUCACAUCAAUUUGUCAAUUUUUUUUAUAUCUGAAUACAUUUUAAGGAGUAGGAUUUCUCAACUAAUUUUUGGGUACUGGGGUAUUAUGGGAAUGGGCUGGUUAGUUCAGGGCAAUGGUUAGGCCAAGGUUUUGAGAAGAGUUAUUUGAAGAAGUAUGGGAAGAAAGAGCGUUGGUCUACAUUUUUGAGUCUUUGGCGUUCUUGCAGAUUCUCUUUUUUCGCCUUCUCUAUUGAUCCUGCUUAAGUUUUAUAGCUAUAGAUUUAUACCUUUAAUUUUUAUAGACUUGAUGCAAGAAGAUGUGAUGUGAAUGAUACUGCGUGAUUGAUGAUUCAGGUUCUUGAUUUAUGAUUUAUUGUUAGAUGUGAAAGUUUUUAUAAAUUGAUUUGUGGGGAAUUUCUUCAUGUGUUCUUGGUUAUUUGGUGAAAAUAAGUGUUAAUUAUCUGUUUAUUUUUUUGCUUCUAUAGCAAGUUGGUUGAAUUGAUGGAUAUAGUGGUGUACUAUUUAUUUGUUGAGUAAAUGUUCCAAAAAAAAAGAAUCGUUUUUUCAGUUUAUUUCUUAUCAGUUCGUGUAGAAUAUUUGCAUUUCCUUUAAUGAGUCUACAUUUUCUCUUUACAGGUCAUUUGCCUGAAGUUUAACUUGUACUUCUUAUUUCUACCUAUGAUGCUCGGACUCCUCAUCUUUGGAGAAGUAUCCUUCUCGACACGACAUGACAUGACAUAGAUACCGACAGGGAUAUGAAUCGAAUCUUUGGUUUUGCACUCGGACACGGCAACACAAGGGAGAAGAAGGUGGAAGGUGGAGUCUUGCUUCUUGAUUUCUACUUUUGGCUCUACGGAGAGAAGGCUGGAGAAGAUGAGGACUGGGGAAGACGAAAAGGUGAUGACUACGGACUACCCUAAUUGAUUAUAUUGGGCUGGACCAAAUUAGGGGCUCUUUAAAGUCCAAUACAUAGAGUUAAUCAAUUGUAAUUGUUUGGUGAGAUCUAUAUAAUUUGAGGUUUAUUUGGUAUUAAAUUUCAUCUGUGUGAACUUUUUAUUUUGCAAUUAAAAUAACUUAGCA